ACUCCUACGGGAGGCAGCAGUGGGGAAUAUUGCACAAUGGGCGCAAGCCUGAUGCAGCCAUGCCGCGUGUAUGAAGAAGGCCUUCGGGUUGUAAAGUACUUUCAGCAGUGAGGAAGGUGGUAGUGUUAAUAGCACUAUCAUUUGACGUUAGCUGCAGAAGAAGCACCGGCUAACUCCGUGCCAGCAGCCGCGGUAAUACGGAGGGUGCGAGCGUUAAUCGGAAUUACUGGGCGUAAAGCGCAUGCAGGUGGUUUGUUAAGUCAGAUGUGAAAGCCCGGGGCUCAACCUCGGAAUUGCAUUUGAAACUGGCAGACUAGAGUACUGUAGAGGGGGGUAGAAUUUCAGGUGUAGCGGUGAAAUGCGUAGAGAUCUGAAGGAAUACCGGUGGCGAAGGCGGCCCCCUGGACAGAUACUGACACUCAGAUGCGAAAGCGUGGGGAGCAAACAGGAUUAGAUACCCUGUAGCACAGAG
This 472-nucleotide ribosomal RNA is filed under the name uncultured bacterium. Its description in RNAcentral is "bacterial SSU rRNA". It matches the Rfam family "Bacterial small subunit ribosomal RNA", at positions 335 to 799 of the family's 1533-position model. The record is from RNAcentral.